GAGUGAGAGUAUUUUCAUCUCGGGUGAAAUGUGGCGAGUUGCCUUUGGCACUGGCUCGCCGCGUGAGGCAUCUCCGAUGCCGACGCCUGGCUUCGCAGAUCAAUUAAUCAAUACUUAUUCCUCACUGCCCCAAGACUACCCGCUGAACUUAAGCAUAUCAAUAAGCGGAGGAAAAGAAACCAACAGGGAUUACCUCAGUAACGGCGAGUGAAGCGGUAAAAGCUCAAAUUUGAAAUCUUCGGAAUUGUAAUUUGUAGGAUAGUCUAGUCAACACAUUAAGUUCAUUGGAAAAUGACGCCUUAGAGGGUGAUAGCCCCGUAGUGAAGACACUUUCAGUCUAUCCCAAGAGUCGGGUUGUUUGGGAAUGCAGCUCUAAGUGGGUGGUAAAUUCCAUCUAAAGCUAAAUAUUGGCGAGAGACCGAUAGCGAACAAGUACAGUGAUGGAAAGAUGAAAAGCACUUUGAAAAGAGAGUGAAAUAGUACGUGAAAUUGUUGAAAGGGAAGGGCUUGCGGGGGGUGAGAGAGUGAAGACACCAGUGAGGAAAAGGGGAAAGAGAUGUAACUAGAAAUAGUAUUAUACUCUUUUCUGAUACUCUUUGGAGUCUUCAGGACCGCUAAACAGGACUCUCUCUUAACCGCCGCAAGUCGCCCGUCUUGAAACACGGACCAAGGAGUCUAACGAUUGUGCGAGUAUUAGAGCCCCAAACUCAAUGCGAAAUGAAAGUAAAUGGUUUUUUUUUCUAACCGACCCUUUCUUAGGAAAGGAGUAAGCACGGCUGUUGGGACCC
RNAcentral lists this ribosomal RNA (788 nucleotides) under Metschnikowia kipukae. RNAcentral's name for it is "LSU rRNA". The stretch from base 116 to 788 matches the Rfam family "Eukaryotic large subunit ribosomal RNA", at positions 1 to 817 of the family's 3401-position model. The record is from RNAcentral. Lineage: Eukaryota; Fungi; Ascomycota; Pichiomycetes; Serinales; Metschnikowiaceae.